GAUGAAGAACGUAGCGAAACGCGAUAAUUAAUGUGAAUUGCAGAAUUCAGUGAAUCAUCGAGUCUUUGAACGCACAUUGCGCCCCCUGGUAUUCCGGGGGGCAUGCCUGUCCGAGCGUCAUUGCUGCCCUCAAGCACGGCUUGUGUGUUGGGCUUCCGUCCCUGGCAACGGGGACGGGCCCAAAAGGCAGUGGCGGCACCAUGUCUGGUCCUCGAGCGUAUGGGGCUUUGUCACCCGCUCCCGUAGGUCCAGCUGGCAGCUAGCCUCGCAACCAAUCUUUUUAACCAGGUUGACCUCGGAUCAGGUAGGGAUACCCGCUGAACUUAAGCAUAUCAAUAAGCGGAGGA
Molecule: unclassified non-coding RNA, 347 nt
Filed under: soil metagenome
Description: partial contains 5.8S ribosomal RNA, internal transcribed spacer 2, and large subunit ribosomal RNA
Rfam family: 5.8S ribosomal RNA (bases 1-120)
Source: RNAcentral